CCUGUGGAAUGGAGGAACAGCCAGAAGAAUUAGAAGCGACCCUGCAUGUAUUGCCCUUGUUUGGGUGA
Molecule: long non-coding RNA, 68 nt
Filed under: Mus spicilegus (steppe mouse)
Lineage: Eukaryota; Metazoa; Chordata; Mammalia; Rodentia; Muridae
Description: lncRNA (ENSMSIG00000028335.1)
Source: RNAcentral